GAAGGCAAGACGCUUCAAGAACAACAAGCAAUGAAUAAACA
Molecule: small RNA, 41 nt
Filed under: Arabidopsis thaliana (thale cress)
Lineage: Eukaryota; Viridiplantae; Streptophyta; Magnoliopsida; Brassicales; Brassicaceae
Description: ATSL159010
Source: RNAcentral